This is a long non-coding RNA of Homo sapiens (human), 2507 nucleotides long. RefSeq lists it as uncharacterized. NCBI's taxonomy places the organism in Eukaryota, Metazoa, Chordata, Mammalia, Primates, Hominidae. The transcript is spliced from 2 exons. The record is from RefSeq and is a predicted model, not a curated record.
CUGUUUCACAGUUUUCCUCAAGUGUUCUCCGUGCUCGUCGUCACUUCAUACCUGUGGCAGACACUGGACUACAGCUGCGGCGCCUUGCAGAAUGAGUCUUCCCUUCCCUGAUAGGAAGGCGUUAGGGCAACUCGUCUGGAGGGGCCGUGUUUUGAUUCUGAACUUAGAGAACAGUGGGGGGUUUUCCUGGCACAGUGGCCAGCAGAGCUGUCUGCUGGCAGAGAAGAGGAUCUUGAGUAGUGGUUCUCAAGUCUUCGUACUCCACGUAGACCCUAGGGAGCCCAGGAGACUGCUCCUUCCUGCCCUCCCACUCCGGACAUCAGUCCCAUUCAGAGCAGGUUGAUGUGUGGUUGAGGAAUCUGUGUUUUACCCUAACCUCUCCUUGUACCCUCUCCACGAUCCCUAUCCUGACAGCUGUGGACCAUAGACGGGGUCCAGUUGUGAUCUGAUCCAUCAGCCUCUGUGACUGGUGGAAGGCAUGCUUAUUUUGAAUAUUGUUCAACUGAUGUGAAGUUUUUUAGUUGCUGCUUAAAAGAAGUAAGAAUAUUCAUGUAAAAUACCUCUUAGAUCCUUAAUAAUGAAAGUAGUGUAGGUUUUGCUUUUGUAAGUUACUAAUGAUUGCAGAAUGAAAGCAUUCUCUUAACGGUGGUUUGGCAGGUCAGGCUCUGAGUGCUAUGUGGCCGGAUCGUCAGGGGCUAGUGUAGCUGGGGAUGGUACAGGGGACUGAAGGGUGCAGGCGGCCUGUUGAUUUCAUGGGCUGGGCUGCGGUGUGUGGCAUCCUGGUGCAGUGCUGCUGCUGCCUGUAAUUGGGCUUGGGGGUUCACACACUAUGUGGCCGCUGCUGAGAGAGGACUACUCUGGCUGUUUUUCCUCUGUCAUUUUUUUUUUUAAAUUGAUCUAAAAGGAAAGGUCAGGAGAUUCAGCCACAACAAAGACGGUUUUUGCCCUUUCUGGGGAAGAUUGCUGUGUCAGGCCUCGUGCAGAGCACGUGGGAAUCCCUGUGGGGUGGGCUUAUGUCUUUUGAGAAGUCCAGGAAGAGCUCAUCAGGAAACGGAAUAGGCGUUGCUACCAUGACGCAGCCCUGCACUGCGCAUUCAUUUUUUAGUGAAUAUUUUUUACUUCUGUGGGGGAGUUGGUUUUUCAGCCGAGGAUGUGAAGUUGGCGGGAAUUAAAUAUUGGUAGAGGCGCAGGGAGUCUGGAUUCAGUAUCUGGAGUAGUCAGUCUCUUCCUUGGCUUUUAAGGGUUUUCUUGUAGGAAGGCAGAAUAGAGUCCCUCCUGUUAUCUGGUCAUUUUUAACAGCGAUGCAUAUUUUGGGAUGCUGAUAAUCUGAUUUGAGUUGUGUUAAUGUAUAGCAAUGGUCCCCACCCUUUUCGGCACCAGGGACUGGUUUCACGGAAGACAGUUUUUCCACCGCUGGUGGGGAGGGAUGACGGUUUCAGGAUGAAACUGUUGCACCUCAGAUCAUCAGGCAUUAGAUUGUCCUAAGGAGCUCACAACCUAGAUUCCGCAACCUGGAUCUAUGGUGUGUGCAGCCCACAACAGGGUUCUCACUCCUGUGAGAGUCUAAUGCUGCUGCUGCUUUGACAGGAGGUGGGGCUCAGCCUUUGAUGCCUGCUGGCCCCCUCACCUCCUGCUGUGCGACCUGAUUCCUAACAGGCCAUGGACCUCCAACUGGCAGGCAGCAGGGCGCCUGGGCCUCUGUCCAGGCCAGCGCUGGCUGGCUGCCUUCUGCUAUGUGUUGGUUGGUUGGCUGGCGGGUGUUUUUGUAGCACAUUGGAUGACUAGUGGAUACUUUUUAACAGUCUCUCAUUGUCUUCUCCAUUCUAGCAACAGACAGGACAUCAUGUGGAUACUUUGUAACAGUCCCUCAUCUUCUCCAUUCUAGCAACAGACACAUAUACUUGACGUCAUAAUGGUUUGGAAAUGAGGGGGGUAAUGGCAAUGCUGACCUCAAGACCAAAACUCACGUGCGGGAGCAUCCGUGCCUCGUUGGAGGGCUGCGUGUGGCCAGCGCUAGCAGCUAUUUUGAGAUCUCUUCAGUCUCUUGCUUGAGUGGGAGUUGCCUGCAAAGCUGCCCCAUUGCGACUUUGCAGCAUAGAUCUCCGUACUGUUUCUUAUUUUUGUUUCUGUGUGUUUGUUUUAAAUGUGUGUGCGCUCAUGUGAGUUUGAAGGGAGUUAGAUGCAACAGCAGGAGCUGUGCUCAGGGCAGUGGUGUUAAUUAUGGAGGGCGUGGGAAGGGCUGGGAAGAGGAGGGGGUUGUAAGACUCCCCUUUUCCCUCGCAUGUAAACAGAUGCUGGUGACUGAAAGUCUGUCUGCGGUUAUUGGCAAGAGUGACUGGAAACUGUGAAACACUAAAAACACCAGCAUCUGGUGUUUGCAGAGCAUUUUCCUUUGACGAAGAAAGAAAAACCGUCUUUUUAGCAGACACCCCACCGUCCCCGGUCCCUGCUGUCUGUGUCUGUGGAUCUGCCUCUUCUGGGUAUUUCAUAAAAGCGGAAUCAAAACA